RNAcentral lists this ribosomal RNA (253 nucleotides) under uncultured bacterium. RNAcentral describes it as "partial 16S ribosomal RNA". It matches the Rfam family "Bacterial small subunit ribosomal RNA", at positions 524 to 776 of the family's 1533-position model. The record is from RNAcentral.
GACGAACCGUGCGAACGUUGUUCGGAAUCACUGGGCUUAAAGGGCGCGUAGGCGGGGAGCCAAGUCGGUGGUGAAAUCUUUCGGCUUAACCGGAAAAUUGCCUUCGAUACUGGCUGUCUUGAGGGAGGUAGGGGCAGAUGGAACUUCCGGUGGAGCGGUGAAAUGUGUUGAUAUCGGAAGGAACGCCGGUGGCGAAAGCGAUCUGCUGGACCUCUUCUGACGCUGAGGCGCGAAAGCUAGGGGAGCAAACGGG